This 563-nucleotide long non-coding RNA is filed under the name Gopherus agassizii (Agassiz's desert tortoise). RNAcentral's name for it is "lncRNA (ENSGAGG00000016310.1)". The record is from RNAcentral. Lineage: Eukaryota; Metazoa; Chordata; Testudines; Testudinidae.
CCAGCGUCCUCUCAAGCCCUGGAUCCCAGUCUCUAUCUCUGCUAAUGUGGGCAUCCAGGUGGUGUUCUACAGUGUGGGCUGUAGAAUUCCUAAUUCCUCCCACACCUUCCUGAUGAAUGUUCCAGAUGUUGCCAGUUACUGCCAGAUGUAUUCUAUAAAUGCCCAGAAGGGCUUCGAGGACUUUGCUUUGAUGGUGGCCGAUACAUCAGAGACUGGUGCCAUCAUCCUAGACAAUCAGCCUCUAAGGGAUGUGGUGUGGAACCGUGUCCCUGGCACUGAGUUCGUUUGGGGCAUGCGUACACUUGGACCUGCCAUCAGGUCCCAUGCUGUGGAACAUCCCAGCUCUCCAUUUGCACUCCUGAGUGUUGGCAAUGCCGCCAUGGACAGCUAUGGGAUUCCGGGUUCCUGCAGGAAGAAUGUUACCUUUAAAUGCCAGACUGAGACUCUACAGAUAAAAGAGCAGUUGGAGAGGUGCAAAAAUGUCUUUCUGCAGGGCAACAACAGUGAAUUUUGCUCCUUCAUGAAUUCAACCUUGGUGAAUUUGGAGACCAUGUGUGCACAGG